UGCCCGACACCCCCGCCCCCGAGGGCUCGGUUCAGCUCCGCCGACCUGGCUGUCGCCUGCGGUGUUGGGUUCUCGCGCAGUCAGGUGUCGUCCGGGGAAGGCGCAGUUAUUUAUGACCGCGGGGUUGGGCUGGGAAUGCGGGGCCGAGGAGCAGCCGGUUGCGCCUCCUCCUCCCCAGGCUCUCCCCAGCCAGAGACCCCCGGUUCCCCAGGUGAAGGCCGCCCGGAGGGGACCCCAGGCCGCGCAAUCGUAGGGGUCGCUCUCGGACAGCAGCGAACCUCAGCGAACCAACUUCUCGCGAGGUUUCGGGUGCCGCUCCACCGCCUCGUCCGCCUCCUCCUAGCUCCGGUGCGGGCAGCUCCCGCGAUGGCUGCGCUGCGGAGGCUUCUGCGGCCGCCGCCUCGGCUUCCGCCUCCGCCCUCGCCUCCCCGUUCCUUCACUGGGCCGUGCGGGCGGCCUGCGGGCAUAGCUCCGGGCUCUCCCGGCCGGCCCUUCUGUCGGGAGGAGGAGGGGGCUGUGGCUGAAGCGGCUUGGAGGCGGCGGCGGCGCUGGGGGGAGCUGAGCAUAGCGGCAGCGGCCGGCGGGGGUCUGGUCGGCCUGGUGUGCUACCAGCUGUAUGGGGACCCCAGGGCCGACUCCGCGCGGGCGCCGGCCCCCUGGCUCCCCUCCAAGAGCGCGGCCGCAGAGCCGGAGGAACCGCCCCGCGGCCGGGGGCUGCUUCCCAUCCCGGUCGCCGCUGCCAAGGAGACGGUUGCUGUUGGCAGAACAGACAUUGAAGACCUAGAUCUCUAUGCAACAUCUCGGGAAAGGCGAUUUCGUUUGUUUGCUUCUGUAGAAUGUGAAGGGCAGUUAUUCAUGACUCCAUAUGAUUUUAUUUUGGCUGUUACAACAGAUGAGCCCAAAUUUGCUAAAACAUGGAAGUCACUUUCCAAGCAGGAAUUAAAUCAAAUGCUAUCAGAAACACCACCAGUUUGGAAAGGAUCAUCAAAGCUAUUUCGAAGUCUUAAAGAAAGAGGUGUGAUUUCUUACACAGAAUAUCUUUUUCUUUUAUGUAUUUUAACAAAGCCACAUGCAGGUUUUAGAAUAGCUUUCAACAUGUUUGACACCGAUGGCAAUGAGAUGGUAGAUAAAAAGGAGUUUUUGGUGCUUCAAGAAAUAUUCAGGAAAAAAAAUGAAAAGAGAGAAACUAAAGGAGAUGAAGAAAAGCGUGCAAUGCUGCGUCUUCAACUUUAUGGAUACCAUUCUCCUACUAAUAGUGUACUUAAAACAGAUGCUGAGGAACUUGUCUCCAGAAGCUAUUGGGAUACACUGAGACGUAAUACAAGCCAAGCACUCUUUUCAGACCUCGCAGAGCGUGCUGAUGACAUUACAAACUUAGUAACAGAUACUACACUUCUUGUACACUUUUUUGGAAAGAAAGGAAAAGCUGAGCUCAACUUUGAAGAUUUUUAUAGAUUCAUGGAUAACCUCCAAACAGAAGUUCUAGAAAUAGAAUUCCUUUCCUACUCUAAUGGGAUGAAUACUAUCAGUGAAGAAGAUUUUGCUCAUAUUCUUUUACGAUACACAAAUGUGGAAAAUACAUCAGUAUUUUUGGAAAAUGUGCGUUAUAGUAUACCUGAAGAAAAGGGCAUUACAUUUGAUGAAUUCAGGUCAUUUUUCCAGUUUUUGAACAACCUAGAAGACUUUGCAAUAGCCUUGAAUAUGUAUAAUUUUGCAAGUCGCUCUAUAGGGCAAGAUGAAUUUAAACGUGCCGUCUAUGUAGCCACUGGCCUCAGACUUUCACCACAUUUAGUGAACACAGUCUUUAAGAUUUUUGAUGUUGACAAAGAUGAUCAAUUAAGCUAUAAAGAAUUCAUUGGAAUUAUGAAAGACAGACUCCAUAGAGGAUUCCGGAUUUCCACUAGGCAACGUGAGGUUCUUAAGUCACUGCAUAUUCAGUACUUUUUAUAUGGAAAAUGAGGGUUAUAAAACAGUUCAGAAGUAUCCCACUUUCAAAUCCUGUCUGAAGAAGGAACUUCAUAGCAGAUAAGCACUUCUAAAGCAAAGUUUAAAGGAUUAUCAUCUACUUGAAAGUGCAAGAAGCAAAAACUUCCGAGGGCGGAAGCAGGUCUGAGAUCAGAACUUGUGUAAAUGAAGGAAAAGGUGAAAUGCUAACUAUUUUUUCUUUAACUGAAUUUUUGAAUAUAAGAUGCAUCUUCUUACUGAUUACUAAUGUUACAUGUUAUCAUGCAUCUUCUUACUAAUUACUAACGUUACGUGUUAUCAUGUUGAGCUUUUGACUUGAUUUACUGAACUCUGCACUUUUUCAUUCCCUUCGGAUUCUUCCAGUGACUAUAUAAGAAUGUAUUUUAAUUUUUAAAAAAAUUUAUUAGAAAUUUGUCUCAUUUCAAAAUAAUGUAUGACUCCUGGAAUCUAGAUCACUUAAAAAUGAACAGCAACAUAUUUUUGGUUUUAGACUGAACUUAUUAUCAGAAAAUGAAUAUUCCUUGAGAUUUAUCUUAGGGCCCUUAGAAUUGUUAAUAGAUCUCCAGGCUUUUAAUUACAUUGAAGUAAUUUUGAAACACAAAUAGAAAUUAAGCUACUAUACAAUAUGAUGGUUUACACUGUACUUUUAACUUUUAAAAUUGCUUAAUUAACAUAUAUUGUUUGAAUCAUAAAGUUUUUUUUAAAGUUUUUGUUCAUUUACCAAAGUCAACAGAAUGUCUGAUAUUAUUUUAUGUAUACAGUAAUUUAAAAUGUAAAUUUUUUUUCUCAAAAAAACUCAUACAUUAAUGGUAGAAACAGUGGUAGUUUUUGUAUCAGUAGUCACUGUUGUUGUCGUUAUUGUUUUAAACAUGGUGCAGCUCCUGAUAGCAGAUGGUACAUGUUAAUAACAGUAGUAAAAAUAAUAUCUUGAGGCUCUGUAACUUAUCGCAUAUUGUUAUUAUGUGUCUGUGGUGUCAAAAUGAGUAUUAUAAAAGAUUAAUAUAAAAUGGUUUAGCAGACUGAAGUAUAUAUUAGGUAGAAGUUAAUAUUUGUUUCUUGCGAAAGGACCACAUGUUAAAGUAAUGCCAAACAGCCAGUAAUCAUGAAUACUUUAAAUAGAAUUUAUUAUUUCAAAAUGUCUUAAAAGAGAAAAGAUAAACUUUCUAUUGAAAAACAGCAAAAUUAGAUUUUCUCCUGGAGAAAAUAACUUGAUAGGAUUUAAUGGAAAUCUGUUCAAUUAAAAAAAUGUAGUUUAUAAAAAGUUACUAUGCAAAAAUAGAACAAUGAAUCUAAAUUAUACUGUAUGUGGAAGAUAGGUUCAUUUAUCUUCUAAGAUGUACUAAAUAUAAACUGCACACACUCCAACUGUUAUCUUGCUUUUACUAUGAAAAUAGGAAAUACUGACUUUGUUUUUGUUAAGUUAUUAAAGGUGAAAUUGAUAGUUCUGUAUCAGCCUAUUUAUAAAAGUAAUGUUAUUCCCAAGAAUAUGUUGUUAGCAUUGACAAUGCAUUUUUAGACUUUUUACAUUCUUUUUCUGAUAUUAUUUAUUACAUUGAUAUAGAAAUAUGUGAUUCAUCAGUUUUAGGAUUUCACAUAGUAUAAUUUCACCUGCUUUGCAGGUUGAUUCAGUUGAUUAAGUAAAUGAAAAUGUCUACCUUCUCAUUUAACGUGCCCCAGCUCUAUUUUACCUUACACUGAAUGUUCUCAAUAUUAUUUGCUAUCUAAAAGAAUGGAAAAAUGCAACUUACUUUUAUCUUUAAUUAUAAACUAAAUUAUCUUGCAUAUAUGGAAAAAUUGCUAUUUAGAACAGUCCUAUAAAUAGAUAUUAAAAACUGAAUUAGCUCAUUAAGAUUCUUUGUAAUUCUGCCAUUCUCCCAAGGAAUAUUACAUAUGUAACCUUUAUUCUUUAUUGCUUAUCAGAGUGAAUGGAUACUCAUCUGCUUAUAAGACUGCAGCAUAAUAUUAAAAUGCAAAUAAAUAAAAUAUUCUGAUGAAUUAAAAUGGAAAAGAGUAGUAAAUUAUGGUGAUUCUCCACAUAUUAUCAGUCUUGAACUUCAUCAUCUAUAAAAUGGGAGGUAAAAAUAUCUCACUGGACUGUUGUUUACAUCAAUUUUUAAAAUUUUAAGUACUUUGAAAAUAGUAAUGUACUAAAUACAUGUAUGCUAUUCUCAGUAUUUCCUUCUACAAACUAUUCCUUGGAAAGAUGAAGCUAUACAUGAAAUUUUAGUAUCAUACUCUUUACAGAAGACUUUAUGAUGAAAGGUUUAUGGUAAUUCUCAGAAUCAUUUCUUAUUAUGAAUUCCAUUUAAGUUCCAGUUUAUUGUUCUUAUUAUAACUGUAAAGUGACCUGUCUUACAUUCUUAUGUUAUCUUAAAAUAAAUACACUUGCUCUUGAA
This is an RNA transcript of Orcinus orca (killer whale), 4361 nucleotides long. It is a transcript of the gene named mitochondrial calcium uptake family member 3, with no coding region annotated. The transcript has 16 exons. The record is from RefSeq and is a predicted model, not a curated record. NCBI's taxonomy places the organism in Eukaryota, Metazoa, Chordata, Mammalia, Artiodactyla, Delphinidae.